CAGAGUCAGGCAGCCCAGUGUUGUGACUGAUCACUUCGAUGAAGCCCCCAUGGUUCUGCUUUUCCAGGCUAUGUCAGGUGCUGUUGCCUGACUUAAAAAAUUCUGUCGCAGGCCUCCCAAAGCCUGGAGCAGAGCUUCCUCUGACGUACAGCAUGUUUCCCUCAGUCUCUCACACAUUUCUUUUAGGCUUUGCUCUCCAUUUGGUGUCAACUCCCUUGGCCUUCCUGUCUCAGUCCUAAUGUGGGUGUAUAAGGAGAAAGGGCCUGCUCACGCUGCUUCCUGUGUCCGCUCACAACUAGCUUUUCCUGGACACCUGGCAUCCACCAGAAGUCAUUCUGAUCCUCUGGCUGCCUUGGAUCUCAUCCUGCAAAGACCUUUGCUCCUGUAGCUUCUCAGCAGCCUGCACGGGUGAGCCAUGCAUCCUGCAGGUGGGAGCAGGUGGGGCAGCCUCCUCUUCACAGGCUGCCAGGACAGAGUUCCUUGGUGUUCAGGGAUCGCCUGAGAUGGGCUUUGCUGAUGACAGACAGGAGUGUGUCAGAAAAGUACUGGUUUUGAGGUUUCUUGCAUACAGGGUUUGGUCAGAAGCCGUGCCUCCAGCCUGUGGAGAGGCAGAUGAAGCAGAUUGUUUCGCCUGAGGCUGGGUCUGACUAUUUAGCCAAGCUGGCCUUGAACUGGCGAUCCUCCUUCCUCCACCUCAGGGCUCAGAUUAUGGGUUUGAGCCACCAUGCCCACUGGGGCCUGGGAGCUCCUACUUGCAGAAUGGAACAGCCACCUAAGGUUGCUGGGAGGAGCAGUGAACAGCCAUCUUGACAUGCACCUCCAAAUUUCUUGGCUCUGAGUUUUCAAGUACCUCUUACAGGCAACUCAAAACAAACCCUCCCGAGUGUCAAUGUAAAUGACAACUGACUGAAGUCACAGCAGGCAAUAGCCGUGUGCACCUACCUCAGCUGGCCUAAUUGUGUGAACAGUGCUCUGGCUAACACCAGGGUGUGUUGUCAAGUGCAUCGUGAAAUGCUGCUAGAGACACAGCU
Molecule: long non-coding RNA, 1031 nt
Organism: Dipodomys ordii (Ord's kangaroo rat)
Lineage: Eukaryota; Metazoa; Chordata; Mammalia; Rodentia; Heteromyidae
Exons: 3
Source: RefSeq, a predicted model, not a curated record